UUUAGUACCAAGCACCAGUCCCAAGACAGACCCCUGGAGGACACUUGUGACCAGCCUCCAUCUGGGCAUAGAGCCAUUGACAGCAGCCCUGUCUGCUGCAAUCAUUCCACCAGUUCUUUAUCCAUCUGAUAGUCCAGCCUUCAAAUCCAUCUCUCUCCAAUUUAGAGAUAAGGACCAAGAAACCUGAUGUCUAAUUAUUACAACAAGUAUUUGCAUAACCAGGUGAAUGUGCUUAGAAAAAGCAAUUUUGCACUACAGUCAGAUAACCAUUAAAACAAGAAAAUGAUUUUUAGCCAUUUAUGCAUUUUAAGCAUCUUAUCUGUCAUUGUAGUAAAUGAGCAUAUACAAAUGAUUUGCAAUUAAUUUUGCAUAUUUUCACACAAACUAAAUGCUUCUUUCUGGGACAUAUGGUUCUGAACUUCAUUAACUAUUGAUAAAAUUGUUACUGGGUGUUACUGACAUGCAAAAUAUAUGUAUAUAUUGCUGUUAAUGAAUUCUGAUCUUUUUAAUAAGUGAUCUUUUCUUCAGCAGAUGUAUGGGAAUUGCUAAGUUAGGGCCUUAGCCAAUGAUUGAGCACCUGGUAAACAGACACAGCCAACCCUGAGAGCACAGGUGAAUUGCUUUCGACCAGAAGCCUCAUUUAAGGGCUGGCUACUUAGAGGAAGGAUAUCUACCUGGAGAUCCCUUCUUUUGGAGUAUUUGAUGAGCCCUGAUCCUUGGGAUGGACUCUGCUGGCCCAGCUGGCUGUGUGGGAGACCAGGAGUGUUGCUUCUGACCGGGUCCCCUAGACUUCAAGCAGCUCAUACAUUGCAUGAGGGGCUAUAGGACUCCUGCAUGCAAUGAGGAAGGCAGAAUAUGGCAAGUUCUCUCCUUAAGGUUUUGACUCAUCCAUGUAACAGAGAAAUGAAGAAUUUUAAUGUGGUCCAAAGCAAGAGCUCUGGAUGAAUUACAAUCUGCAAUUGCUCCAGAUACUCCAGCACCUUUGCCAGCAUAUCCUCGUCCAGAUACUGCCUGUUUUGCGUGUCAUCGGUGUCCCCAGCCAUGGAGAGCCUUUU
Phasianus colchicus (ring-necked pheasant) is the source of this 1055-nucleotide long non-coding RNA. RefSeq lists it as uncharacterized. The record is from RefSeq and is a predicted model, not a curated record. Lineage: Eukaryota; Metazoa; Chordata; Aves; Galliformes; Phasianidae.